This 738-nucleotide ribosomal RNA is filed under the name uncultured Ascomycota. RNAcentral's name for it is "SSU rRNA". It matches the Rfam family "Eukaryotic small subunit ribosomal RNA", at positions 828 to 1590 of the family's 1831-position model. The record is from RNAcentral. Lineage: Eukaryota; Fungi; Ascomycota.
UGCNGGUUCUAUUUUGUUGGUUUCUAGGACCGCCGUAAUGAUUAAUAGGGACAGUCGGGGGCAUCAGUAUUCAAUUGUCAGAGGUGAAAUUCUUGGAUUUAUUGAAGACUAACUACUGCGAAAGCAUUUGUCAAGGAUGUUUUCAUUAAUCAGGAACGAAAGUUAGGGGAUCGAAGACGAUCAGAUACCGUCGUAGUCUUAACCAUAAACUAUGCCGACUAGGGAUCGGACGAUGUUAUUUUUUGACUCGUUCGGCACCUUACGAGAAAUCAAAGUGCUUGGGCUCCAGGGGGAGUAUGGUCGCAAGGCUGAAACUUAAAGAAAUUGACGGAAGGGCACCACCAGGGGUGGAGCCUGCGGCUUAAUUUGACUCAACACGGGGAAACUCACCAGGUCCAGACACAAUGAGGAUUGACAGAUUGAGAGCUCUUUCUUGAUUUUGUGGGUGGUGGUGCAUGGCCGUUCUUAGUUGGUGAAGUGAUUUGUCUGCUUAAUUGCGAUAACGAACGAGACCUUAACCUGCUAAAUAGCCCGUAUUGCUUUGGCAGUACGCUGGCUUCUUAGAGGGACUUUCGGCUCAAGCCGAAGGAAGUUUGAGGCAAUAACAGGUCUGUGAUGCCCUUAGAUGUCCUGGGCUGCACGCGCGUUACACUGACGGAGCCAGCGAGUACUCCCUUGUCCGAAAGGUCCGGGUAAUCUUGUUAAACUCCCGUCGUGCUGGGGAUAGCGCAUUGCAAU